Molecule: ribosomal RNA, 484 nt
Filed under: uncultured bacterium
Lineage: Bacteria
Description: partial 16S ribosomal RNA
Rfam family: Bacterial small subunit ribosomal RNA
Source: RNAcentral
AUUGAACGCUGGCGGCAGGCCUAACACAUGCAAGUCGAGCGGAUGAAGGGAGCUUGCUCCUGGAUUCAGCGGCGGACGGGUGAGUAAUGCCUAGGAAUCUGCCUUGUAGUGGGGGAUAACGUCCGGAAACGGGCGCUAAUACCGCAUACGUCCUGAGGGAGAAAGUGGGGGAUCUUCGGACCUCACGCUAUCAGAUGAGCCUAGGUCGGAUUAGCUAGUUGGUGGGGUAAAUGCCUACCAAGGCGACGAUCCGUAACUGGUCUGAGAGGAUGAUCAGUCACACUGGAACUGAGACACGGUCCAGACUCCUACGGGAGGAAGCAGUGGGGAAUAUUGGACAAGGGGCGAAAGCCUGCUCCAGCCAUGCCGCGUGUGUGAAGAAGGUCUUCGGAUUGUAAAGCACUUUAAGUGGGGAGAAAGGGGAGUAAGUUAAUACGUUGCUGUAUUGACGUUACCAACAGAAUAAGCACCGGCUAACUUCGUG